Molecule: ribosomal RNA, 463 nt
Filed under: uncultured bacterium
Lineage: Bacteria
Description: partial 16S ribosomal RNA
Rfam family: Bacterial small subunit ribosomal RNA
Source: RNAcentral
GAUGAACGCUGACAGAAUGCUUAACACAUGCAAGUCGAUGGGGAAGCGGUGCUUGCACCAUGGGAACCAUGGAGGACGGGUGAGUAACACGUAAGGAACUUACCUGCGGGACCGGGAUAACAGCAGGAAACUGCUGACAAGACCGGAUAAGGUCAUUAAGCUGCAUAGCUUAGCGAUGAAAGGAGACGCCUGCGGAGAGCCUUGCGUCAUAUUAGCUAGUUGGAGGGGUAACGGCCCACCAAGGCGAAGAUAGGUAGCCGGCCUGAGAGGGUGGACGGCCACAAGGGGACUGAGAUACGGCCCUUACUCCUACGGGAGGCAGCAGUGGUGAAUAUUGGACAAUGGUGGCAACCCUGAUCCAGCAAUUCUGUGUGCACGAAGACGGUUUUCGGAUUGUAAAGUGCUUUCAGCAGGGAAGAAGGAAGUGACGGUACCUGCAGAAGAAGCGACGGCUAAAUACGUG